AGAUAGAAACCAACCUGGCUCACACCGGUCUGAACUCAAAUCAUGUAAAGUUUUAAAGGUCGAACAGACCUUCUAUUAUAGCCUCUACUCCAUAAAGAACCUUUAAUUCAACAUCGAGGUCGCAAACUCUCUUAUCGAUAAGAACUCUUAAAGAAAAUUACGCUGUUAUCCCUAAAGUAACUUAAUCUUUUAAUCCAUUUUAGGAUCAUUAACCCAAACAUUUUUGUUAGAAAAAAAAACAGUUACUUUUUAUUCUAUUCUUGUCGCCCCAACCAAAUAUCUCAAAACAAUAAUCUUUAAACAAAACUCACCUACUACUCUUCGAUAUAAAGUUUUAUAGGGUCUUAUCGUCCCUUCAGACUAUUUAAGCCUUUUCACUUAAAAGUUAAAUUCAAUAUAUUAAUUUAAGACAGAUUAUUUCUUGUCCAACCAUUCAUUCUAGCCUUCAAUUAAAAAACUAAUGAUUAUGCUACCUUCGCACGGUC
RNAcentral lists this ribosomal RNA (485 nucleotides) under Cambarus hamulatus. Its description in RNAcentral is "partial 16S ribosomal RNA". The record is from RNAcentral. Lineage: Eukaryota; Metazoa; Arthropoda; Malacostraca; Decapoda; Cambaridae.